Coturnix japonica (Japanese quail) is the source of this 224-nucleotide non-coding RNA. The record is from RefSeq and is a predicted model, not a curated record. Lineage: Eukaryota; Metazoa; Chordata; Aves; Galliformes; Phasianidae.
CACAGAUCCCACACAGCCCGUACACUGUCAAUGUGGCUGAAGCGUGCAGCCCGUCCUCGUGCCGCGCGUGGGGCCGGGGGCUGCAGCCCAAGGGGGUGCGCGUGCACGAGGCGGCCGACUUCCGCGUGCACACCAACGGAGCCGGGAGCGGGGAACUGCGCGUCACCGUGCGGGGACCGCAGGGUUCUGAGGUCCCGGUGUCGGUCGGCUGCGGCGCUGGCUGC